Molecule: ribosomal RNA, 1167 nt
Filed under: Talaromyces verruculosus
Lineage: Eukaryota; Fungi; Ascomycota; Eurotiomycetes; Eurotiales; Trichocomaceae
Description: SSU rRNA
Rfam family: Eukaryotic small subunit ribosomal RNA
Source: RNAcentral
UCUGGUUGAUUCUGCCAGUAGUCAUAUGCUUGUCUCAAAGAUUAAGCCAUGCAUGUCUAAGUAUAAGCACUCUUUUACUGUGAAACUGCGAAUGGCUCAUUAAAUCAGUUAUCGUUUAUUUGAUAGUACCCUACUACAUGGAUACCUGUGGUAAUUCUAGAGCUAAUACAUGCGCAAAACCCCGACUUCGGAAGGGGUGUAUUUAUUAGAUAAAAAACCAAUGCCCUUCGGGGCUCCUUGGUGAUUCAUAAUAACUUCACGAAUCGCAUGGCCUUGCGCCGGCGAUGGUUCAUUCAAAUUUCUGCCCUAUCAACUUUCGAUGGUAGGAUAGUGGCCUACCAUGGUGGCAACGGGUAACGGGGAAUUAGGGUUCGAUUCCGGAGAGGGAGCCUGAGAAACGGCUACCACAUCCAAGGAAGGCAGCAGGCGCGCAAAUUACCCAAUCCCGAUACGGGGAGGUAGUGACAAUAAAUACUGAUACAGGGCUCUUUUGGGUCUUGUAAUUGGAAUGAGAACAAUCUAAAUCCCUUAACGAGGAACAAUUGGAGGGCAAGUCUGGUGCCAGCAGCCGCGGUAAUUCCAGCUCCAAUAGCGUAUAUUAAAGUUGUUGCAGUUAAAAAGCUCGUAGUUGAACCUUGGGCCCGUCCUGCCGGUCCGCCUCACCGCGAGUACUGGUCCGGAUGGGCCUUUCUUUCUGGGGAAUCCCAUGGCCUUCACUGGCUGUGGCGGGGAACCAGGACUUUUACUGUGAAAAAAUUAGAGUGUUCAAAGCAGGCCUUUGCUCGGAUACAUUAGCAUGGAAUAAUAGAAUAGGACGUGCGGUUCUAUUUUGUUGGUUUCUAGGACCGCCGUAAUGAUUAAUAGGGAUAGUCGGGGGCGUCAGUAUUCAGCUGUCAGAGGUGAAAUUCUUGGAUUUGCUGAAGACUAACUACUGCGAAAGCAUUCGCCAAGGAUGUUUUCAUUAAUCAGGGAACGAAAGUUAGGGGAUCGAAGACGAUCAGAUACCGUCGUAGUCUUAACCAUAAACUAUGCCGACUAGGGAUCGGGCGGGGUUUCUAUGAUGACCCGCUCGGCACCUUACGAGAAAUCAAAGUUUUUGGGUUCUGGGGGGAGUAUGGUCGCAAGGCUGAAACUUAAAGAAAUUGACGGAAGGGCACCACAAGGCGU